UACGAGAGGCCCAAACGUUAUUCGGAAUUACUGGGCUUAAAGAGUUCGUAGGCGGCAUGAAAAGCAGGGUGUGAAAGCCCUCGGCUCAACCGAGGAAUUGCGCUCUGAACUGUCGUGCUUGAGGAACCUAGAGGUGAGCAGAACAGAUGGUGGAGCGGUGAAAUGCGUUGAUAUCAUCUGGAAUACCGGAGGCGAAGGCGGCUCACUGGGGGUUCUCUGACGCUGAGGAACGAAAGCCAGGGUAGCGAACGGG
This 253-nucleotide ribosomal RNA is filed under the name uncultured bacterium. Its description in RNAcentral is "partial 16S ribosomal RNA". It matches the Rfam family "Bacterial small subunit ribosomal RNA", at positions 524 to 776 of the family's 1533-position model. The record is from RNAcentral.